UACGAAGGGGGCUAGCGUUGCUCGGAAUCACUGGGCGUAAAGGGUGCGUAGGUGGGUCUUUAAGUCAGGGGUGAAAUCCUGGAGCUCAACUCCAGAACUGCCUUUGAUACUGAGGAUCUUGAGUUCGGGAGAGGUGAGUGGAACUGCGAGUGUAGAGGUGAAAUUCGUAGAUAUUCGCAAGAACACCCGUGGCGAAGGCGGCUCUCUGGAACGCAACUGACGCUGAGACGCGAAAGCGUGGGGAGCAAACAGG
Molecule: ribosomal RNA, 253 nt
Filed under: uncultured bacterium
Lineage: Bacteria
Description: partial 16S ribosomal RNA
Rfam family: Bacterial small subunit ribosomal RNA
Source: RNAcentral